GGAAUUGUUCGCAAUGGGCGCAAGCCUGACGACGCAACGCCGCGUGGAGGAUGAAGAUCUUCGGGUCGUAAACUCCUGUCGAGUGGGAAGAAUAGUUUCCGGGCGAAUAUCCCGGGAGCCUGACGGUACCACUAAAGGAAGCCCCGGCUAACUCCGUGCCAGCAGCCGCGGUAAUACGGGGGGAGCAAGCGUUGUUCGGAUUUACUGGGCGUAAAGGGCGCGUAGGCGGCGCAACAAGUCACUUGUGAAAUCUCCGGGCUUAACUCGGAGCGGCCAAGUGAUACUGUCGUGCUAGAGUGCGGAAGGGGCAACUGGAAUUCUCGGUGUAGCGGUGAAAUGCGUAGAUAUCGAGAGGAACACCUGCGGCGAAGGCGGGUUGCUGGGCCGACACUGACGCUGAGGCGCGAAAGCCAGGGGAGCGAAC
Molecule: ribosomal RNA, 424 nt
Filed under: uncultured bacterium
Lineage: Bacteria
Description: bacterial SSU rRNA
Rfam family: Bacterial small subunit ribosomal RNA
Source: RNAcentral